RNAcentral lists this long non-coding RNA (316 nucleotides) under Nicotiana benthamiana. Its description in RNAcentral is "long non-coding RNA (NBEN_LNC036581)". Lineage: Eukaryota; Viridiplantae; Streptophyta; Magnoliopsida; Solanales; Solanaceae. The record is from RNAcentral.
AGGAAUUUGAUCGAACAUAUGGUGGGCAUACGAAAUAUGCCUUAACUCCAUACAUUUUGACAAAAGAGGAGGGAUAAUGUAUAGGGUAUAGCCAAUACAUUGAGUUAUAAUUUGUGUUUGAAUUUGUUUGACUUGCUUUAUAGUUUUACAUGAUUUCAAGAAUGUAAUGAACUUCUCUUCAAGGAGUCUAUGAGGAGUUUUUAAGAAUAUGUUUAGAGCAAUUUUAGCUAUUUUGGAAGGAAAAAAUACUUUGACAAUGGUGAAUUCAUAACCCGCUAAAUUUGAAAAUUCUUUGCAGAAGAGAGCUCAAAGCAAC